This 492-nucleotide ribosomal RNA is filed under the name uncultured bacterium. RNAcentral's name for it is "partial 16S ribosomal RNA". It matches the Rfam family "Bacterial small subunit ribosomal RNA", at positions 29 to 507 of the family's 1533-position model. The record is from RNAcentral.
AGUGAACGCUGGCGGUAGGCCUAACACAUGCAAGUCGAACGGCAGCACAGUAAGAUCUUGCUCUUACGGGUGGCGAGUGGCGGACGGGUGAGGAAUACAUCGGCAUCUACUUUUUCGUGGGUGAUAACGUAGGGACACUUACGCUAAUACCUCAUACGACCUACGGGUGAAAUCAGGGGAUCUUCGGACCUUGCGCGAUUGAAUGAGCCGAUGUCGGAUUAGCUAGUUGGCGUGGUAAAGGCCCACCAAGGCGACAAUCCGUAGCUGGUCUGAGAGGAUGAUCAGCCACACUGGAACUGAGACACGGUCCAGACUCCUACGGGAGGCAGCAGUAGGGAAUAUUGGACAAUGGGCGCAAGCCUGAUCCAGCCACACCGCGUGGGUGAAGAAGGCCUUCGGGUUGUAAAGCCCUUUUGUUGGGAAAGAAAAGCAGCAGGUUAAUACCCCGAUGUUCUGACGGUACCCAAAGAAUAAGCACCGGCUAACUUCGUG